RNAcentral lists this ribosomal RNA (441 nucleotides) under uncultured Bacillota bacterium. RNAcentral's name for it is "bacterial SSU rRNA". It matches the Rfam family "Bacterial small subunit ribosomal RNA", at positions 920 to 1359 of the family's 1533-position model. Lineage: Bacteria; Bacillati; Bacillota. The record is from RNAcentral.
GACCCCGCACAAGCAGCGGAGCAUGUGGUUUAAUUCGACGCAACGCGAAGAACCUUACCAGGUCUUGACAUUGAUCUAAGCCCCAAGAGAUUGGGGUGCCCGCAAGGGAAGAGAAACAGGUGGUGCAUGGUUGUCGUCAGCUCGUGUCGUGAGAUGUUGGGUUAAGUCCCGCAACGAGCGCAACCCUUGCCGUCAGUUACUAACGGGUAAAGCCGAGGACUCUGACGGGACUGCCGUGGACAACACGGAGGAAGGUGGGGAUGAUGUCAAAUCAUCAUGCCCCUUAUGACCUGGGCUACACACGUGCUACAAUGGCCGCAACAAAGAGGAGCGAAGUCGCAAGGCAGAGCGAAUCUCGGAAAAGCGGUCUCAGUUCAGAUUGUGGGCUGCAACCCGCCCACAUGAAGUCGGAGUUGCUAGUAAUCGCGAAUCAGCAUGUCG